AUAUAUAUUGAUUAAAAGAAUCAACUAAUGAAUGCAUAAAUAAGUGGAACAAUGAAUCUAUGUUCCUCUCUUUCUCUCAAAUUAAUAAGCAAGUAAGGAAAAUCAAGAAUGUUUGUGUUUGUCACAUUAAGUUUGAAAUGCCUAAUGACAUCCAGGUGGAGAUGUGAGGUAAAUACCCCAGUUGUGCAGUGAGUAUCUAUGGUUGUAAAUUUCAAUAGCAAGAUCUCGCAUAAGCAUGCAGAUAGCAUUUCAAGUCCCAGAGUAAGAUAGUAUCACUUGGGAGGGAAUGAGGAAAUAAGGUUGAGAAGAGGGCUGAAGACAGAAGCCUGGUCCACCAACUUUAGAAGUGGGUUUCAGAGCAGAAGAAGAGGAAGAGGAGGUAGCAAAGAGGCUGGAAGCAGCUGUCCAUGAGGUCAGAGAAAAACCAGGAAAGUGUGGCCUCCUAUAAGCCAAAAGGAAAAAGUUUGAAGCCAAGUGUGAGAAAGGGAGGGCGAAGGGCAAGACAAGAUCAGGUGGUAUGUUAGGCUUUGUUGAGUAAUGGCCUUCUGGGUACAUGGGCAAGGCAGGUGGGGGGCAGGAGGCAUCACCUAGUCCUCCAAGCAGAACCUCAGCUGUGCCUCUCUGUGCUCCCACUGCUCAGCACAGCUCUGCCCCGUCCUUGCCUGCAGGACAGGUUGGUUGAUAAACUGAAUCCUCCUGUGAGCCUUGGCACAGCUCUGCCAACAGGAAGUGCAAGGACCCAGGGCCACACCCUCCCUGAAGGAGUUCUGGCUUGUAAGGGCCUUGAAAAGGUGGGCCUAGGGAGGCACAUGGCCAUCUCCUCCUGUCCAGCUGAUGUUUUCUGGGGGCAGAAAGUGCACCAUGACUCUUCAGUGUGACUCUAACAGGAGCAGGGCUCUCUCUUCCAUAAAGAGCCAGGACAGUUCUGAGAACCAGUGAGUUCCAGUCCAAUGAAUCAAGACUGAAGUGUUUGCAUUGGAGAGAAUGAGGAGAAUCUCAGAAAAUGAAAUAAACAGAGCAAGUGGCUGGAGCUGGAGAAGCAGCCAUGGGAACAAUGGCUCGGCCUUGCUGCCCAUGACUGUCUUCUCCAGAGGCCUUCCCCGGUGGUCUUCUCUAAAAAUCCAACCCUCGGAGGGUUCUUCUUUCCCUUCUCUGCUUUAUUGUCUCGGCUCUGCACCAAUCACUCCCACAUAUCCUAUAUUAUGUUUAUUUCUCUUGUUGUCCUUCUCCGCCACUAGAAUGUGAUUUCCUGUGGGCAGGGAUUUUUGUCUAUUGUAUCCCCACACUUAGAGCAGUGCCUGGCACAUAGGUUCUCAAUAUAUUAUGUUUCUAAAUAAAUGAUUGAACAAAUGACCCUAGUAGCUUUACACAGCCUGUAUCACGGAUAGCACUUCUUGGUCUUGGAUAUUUCUUGUGUUCAAAUAUAUUACAGAAUAAAACUCUUGUGAUGUCUUGUA
Pipistrellus kuhlii (Kuhl's pipistrelle) is the source of this 1457-nucleotide long non-coding RNA. RefSeq lists it as uncharacterized. The record is from RefSeq and is a predicted model, not a curated record. NCBI's taxonomy places the organism in Eukaryota, Metazoa, Chordata, Mammalia, Chiroptera, Vespertilionidae. The transcript is spliced from 2 exons.